CCCUUAGAUGUUCUGGGCCGCACGCGCGCUACACUGAUGCAUUCAACGAGUUCUACCUUGGCCGAGAGGCCUGGGCAAUCUUUUGAACCUGCAUCGUGAUAGGGAUAGAUUAUUGCAAUUAUUAAUCUUCAACGAGGAAUGCCUAGUAAGCGCAAGUCAUCAGCUUGCGUUGAUUACGUCCCUGCCCUUUGUACACACCGCCCGUCGCUCCUACCGAUUGAAUGGUCCGGUGAAGCGUUCGGACCGUGGCCUUUGGACGGUUCGCCGUCUGUUGGCUGCGGGAAGUUCGUUAAACCUUAUCAUUUAGAGGAAGGAGAANUCGUANCA
Molecule: ribosomal RNA, 327 nt
Filed under: uncultured eukaryote
Lineage: Eukaryota
Description: partial 18S ribosomal RNA
Rfam family: Eukaryotic small subunit ribosomal RNA
Source: RNAcentral